AGAGUUUGAUCAUGGCUCAGGACGAACGCUGGCGGCGUGCUUAACACAUGCAAGUCGAACGGUGAACCGGGCUUCGGCCCGGGGAUCAGUGGCGAACGGGUGCGUAACACGUGGGCAACCUGCCCCAGACUCUGGGAUAACUCCGGGAAACCGGGGCUAAUACCGGAUACUCCGAUCGAACCGCAUGACUCGAUCGGGAAAGCUCCGACGGUCUGGGAUGGGCCCGCGGCCUAUCAGCUUGUUGGUGGGGUAACGGCCUACCAAGGCGACGACGGGUAGCUGGUCUGAGAGGACGACCAGCCACACUGGAACUGAGAUACGGUCCAGACUCCUACGGGAGGCAGCAGUGGGGAAUCUUGCACAAUGGGCGAAAGCCUGAUGCAGCGACGCCGCGUGGGGGACGAAUGCCUUCGGGUUGUAAACCCCUUUCGGCAGGGAAGUAGCGCAAGUGACGGUACCUGCAGAAGUAGCUCCGGCUAACUACGUGCCAGCAGCCGCGGUAAGACGUAGGGAGCGAGCGUUGUCCGGAUUCAUUGGGCGUAAAGCGCGCGUAGGCGGUUUGGUAAGUCGGAUGUGAAAUCCCGAGGCUCAACCUCGUGACUGCAUCCGAUACUGCCCGACUAGAGUAGUAGGGGGAGAUCGGAAUUCCUGCUGUAGCGGUGAAAUGCGCAGAUAUCAGAGAACACCGGUGGCGAGCGAUCUCUGGGCUACUGACGCUGAGGCGCGAAGCUAGGGAGCAAACAG
Molecule: ribosomal RNA, 744 nt
Filed under: uncultured bacterium
Lineage: Bacteria
Description: bacterial SSU rRNA
Rfam family: Bacterial small subunit ribosomal RNA
Source: RNAcentral